RNAcentral lists this ribosomal RNA (56 nucleotides) under uncultured bacterium. RNAcentral's name for it is "partial 16S ribosomal RNA". The record is from RNAcentral.
ACGGUCGCCUAACCGCAAGGGGGGGCGCCACCACGGUGAGNUUCAUGACUGGGGUG